Molecule: ribosomal RNA, 253 nt
Filed under: uncultured bacterium
Lineage: Bacteria
Description: partial 16S ribosomal RNA
Rfam family: Bacterial small subunit ribosomal RNA
Source: RNAcentral
UACGUAGGGGGCGAGCGUUGUCCGGAGUUACUGGGCGUAAAGCGCACGCAGGCGGUCUGCUAAGUUUGGAGUGUCAGUUGGUGGCUUAACUGCCAAAGUGCUUCGAAAACUGACAGACUUGAGGGCUUCAGAGGGACACGGAAUUCCGGGUGGAGUGGUGAAAUGCGUAGAGAUCCGGAGGAACACCAAAGGCGAAGGCAGUGUCCUGGGGAGUACCUGACGCUCAGGUGCGAAAGCCAGGGGAGCGAACGGG